GACGAACGCUGGCGGCGUGCUUAACACAUGCAAGUCGAACGUGAUUUUUGUGGAAAUUCUUUCGGGAAUGGAAAUGAAAUGAAAGUGGCGAACGGGUGAGUAACACGUGAGCAACCUACCUUACACAGGGGGAUAGCCGUUGGAAACGACGAUUAAUACCGCAUGAGACCACAGAAUCGCAUGAUAUAGGGGUCAAAGAUUUAUCGGUGUAAGAAGGGCUCGCGUCUGAUUAGCUAGUUGGAAGGGUAAAGGCCUACCAAGGCGACGAUCAGUAGCCGGUCUGAGAGGAUGAACGGCCACAUUGGAACUGAGACUCGGUCCAAACUCCUACGGGAGGCAGCAGUGGGGAAUAUUGCACAAUGGGGGGAACCCUGAUGCAGCGACGCCGCGUGAGCGAAGAAGGUUUUCGAAUCGUAAAGCUCUGUCCUAUGAGAAGAUAAUGACGGUAUCAUAGGAGGAAGCCCCGGCUAAAUACGUG
RNAcentral lists this ribosomal RNA (478 nucleotides) under uncultured bacterium. RNAcentral's name for it is "partial 16S ribosomal RNA". It matches the Rfam family "Bacterial small subunit ribosomal RNA", at positions 28 to 507 of the family's 1533-position model. The record is from RNAcentral.